Long non-coding RNA from Schistocerca cancellata (South American locust), 610 nucleotides. RefSeq lists it as uncharacterized. The transcript is spliced from 2 exons. The record is from RefSeq and is a predicted model, not a curated record. Lineage: Eukaryota; Metazoa; Arthropoda; Insecta; Orthoptera; Acrididae.
UCUGAGCACUAUGGGACUUAACAUCUGAGGUCCUCAGCCCCCUAGACCUUAGAACUACUUAAACCUAAAUAACCUAAGGACAUCACACACGUCCAUGCCCGAGGCAGAAUUCGAACCUGCGACCGUAGCGGAGAGCCAGAGUAAAAGCAUAUAUAAGAAAUGGUACAUUGCAUCUGCAGCUUCUUCCAGAAGUGAGUCUGAAAAGUAAUGUUUGUUUGUGAACAAAGCUGAGUGCAGGUGGUGUUCAUUUGUAGUUAUUGAAAGUUAAAUAACUGUUUCAGUGUAGUUGUGAAUGUGUAAUUUAUUCAGCACAAGUACGUACUUCCUACAUGUUUAUGGCACUGGACUUGACUUGAAUUUGGGAGGCUAGGAUUUCAAAUCCCUCUGCUGUCAGUCAGUCAUCUUUGUUUAGGUUUUCCUAAAUCUCUUAAGGUGAAUGUCAAGAUGAUAACAUUCAGCUCUUUGUCAAUUUGCCCAGUCCUGACACUAUAUAGACUGACAAUAUGUUAAUUCCUACUAAUUUUUAUGUGGCUAUUUCUAUAAUGUUUUGAUGUUAAUAUACUAUUGUUCAAAGCCCAGAGAUGAGAUGAAUAAAUAAAAUUUCAAUUAA